Molecule: long non-coding RNA, 143 nt
Organism: Octopus sinensis (East Asian common octopus)
Lineage: Eukaryota; Metazoa; Mollusca; Cephalopoda; Octopoda; Octopodidae
Exons: 3
Source: RefSeq, a predicted model, not a curated record
UGUGCAUGUGUUCAUGCAAUGUCGAUGUGAUGGAGGGGGGAGUGAGGUAAUGUGCAGCAUUAACAUUUGAUCACUAUAAACAAAUCAUUUGUGCAGGUUUUUCGGCAAAAGUUAAACGCUCAUACGUCGUCUUCGACGAGAGA